GAGCCGAGAUCACGCCACUGCACUCCAGCCUGGGCGACAGAGUGAGACUCUGUCUCAAAAAAAAAAAGUCACGAGAACUGUCUGGAAAUGUGAGCAAUUUCAAGCGAGAGAUUAGUUGUUUUACAAAGUUCAUUAAAAUAUGCAUCAACCAUUCUUCAUCUCUUUGAAUAAAGCUGGAAUUAUGAGACAAAGAAAAAAGAGAACGAGAGGGAGAAAAUGUUCUAUCUUACUUCAACAGGCUCCGUUUUAUUGCAGUGCCAAAAUUUUUGAUCCACUGCAACAAACCAGAGACGACUUAACCAGGAUGACAAGGGUAUUACAAACUAGAAACUAGAGGAGUUUCACCUGAAAAUUGGGAGAUUUUGAGCAAAAACCUAGAGAUUAAAAAAUGGAGUCACAUGGCUAAGCAAGAUGUAUUAUUUAUUCAGUCCAAAGAAAUGCUAUGUUACAUCUGGAUUCAAGGGACUUUGCAGUAAUUCCAAGAGGUAGAAUGUAAGUCCCUGGGGGAAAGAGUCUCCAUGUGUGUUCAGUGUUUUGUGUGUGAUGAAACCUAUAUGUGUUUUCAUUUUCUUUCCUCUAAGAAACUUUUAUAUACAUAUUAACAGUUGCAGAGCGUUAAUGGGAGAAGAGAAAUGAGCAUAAAGUAAAAUGCUAGUAGCAAUGAUUAAUGCAACACUUAUUGUGGCCAAGAAUUUUACAUUUGUUAUCUCAUUUAAGUUUCAUGAAAAUCUCCAUUUACAGAGAAGAAAACUGAGACUGAAACUACCUUGCUCAAGCUCAUCGAGCUAGUAAGUGGAGGAAUUAGGGAUGUGAAACAAGGUCUGGAUGCCUCUGGGGCCCAUGCCCUAAACUAUGAUGUCAUAUCACCUUAGAAUACUAAAUCAGGCUGGGAGUGCUCAGAAGAAUUCAGAGCUUCUGAAUUUCAGACUGGUCCACACUUGACUCAUCUGGCUAUUUAAAGUGAAUGUAGCUUCAGAAUUAGGGAACUUGAUAUCGUGAACCCCCUGCAAAUCCGCAGCAGAGCAGAGAUGCCUAGAUUCUUAAUCCAACUCUGUCAUUUACUGACAAUGUAAAUGACAGGGUUUGGCUGUGUCCCCACCCAAAUCUCAUCUUGAAUUCCCAUAUGUUGUGAAAGGAACCUGGUUGGAGGUAAUUGAGUCAUGGGGGCAGGUCUUUCCCAUGCUAUUCUUGUGAUAGUGAGUAAGGCUCACGAGAUCUGAUGGUUACUGUAAGGGGGAGUUUUCCUGCACAAGCUCUCUUCUCUUGUCUGCCACCAUAUGAGAUGUGCCUUUAACCUUCUUCCAUGAUUGUGAGGCCUCCCCAGCCACGAGGAACUGUAAGUCCAAUAAACUCCUUUCUUUUGUAAAUUGCCCAGUCUUGGGUAUGUCUUUAUGAGCAGUGUGAAAAUGGACUAAUACAGUAACCUUGUAUAUCUUAUUAACCUUCUCCAAGCCCCUAUUUCUAUUUCAUUAGCAUUGGAAGAAUAAAAUCUUCACUGUUUAUGUAAUUGGUUUUGAGAAGUAAGCCAAACUGCAUAUACUAUAAAGUACAAAACAAUAGUAUAUAUUGUGAUUAUUUUGUGAUUUUCUCAAGUAUU
This 1597-nucleotide long non-coding RNA is filed under the name Homo sapiens (human). Its description in RNAcentral is "HSALNT0327707". Lineage: Eukaryota; Metazoa; Chordata; Mammalia; Primates; Hominidae. The record is from RNAcentral.